UUCUAUUUGCCUGGGUUCCCUCCUCCUGACCUUGCGUGUGAGCACCUCGGAGCGCUGGAGGUAUGUGUUACACUCAGUGUGGGCAUGGGGGGUACCAGGCUUCAUCACUGCCCUCGCCCUCUCUUUGGACCACUACCGCACCUAUCUCCCUUCCCUGCAAUGUCAUCACUCCCAGGGUGGGACUCUACAAGUGUUUCUUCUCUGACAGGGAUGCCAAGCUGGUGUACCUCUAUGUGCCAAUGUUGCUGAGCCUGAGUGCCAACGUUGUGUUGCUGGCUGCUGCAAGAUACGUCAGGUCAGCCAAGCUAAGAAGACUUGAGCAUGGAGGACCCAAGUCCAGGACAACAGGUACUGAGGACCCCAAAAGUAACACCAGCUUGAGUAAGGACGACAAUGCUAAUACCACUACCAGCGCCAGCCACCCGCCUGUCAACCUUCAGCACUCUGGCCUCCGCACUCACCAGACCCGCAACCUGUGGACAGAAUCGGUGAAGCUGGUGGUAUGGUCUGGAGCCACAUGGCUGAUGGAGGUGAUAGCCUUCGUUGUGGCCCAGUAUAUCGCUGAGCCCACAGGGUCGUGGUACGACUAUCUCUGGUAUCUACCUUCCAGCGUCAAUGCCCUGCGAGGGGUAGGUAUCUUCUAUAUCCUCGUGCUGACUCCAGAGAACCGUGUCAAGCUGGCUCGCGUCUUCAGCAACUUGGGAGGCUCCUUGGCGGGGGUCAACUUUCCAGGCAAGAGCACCCGUGCCAGGGAUGGCACUGUGUCAUCUGGUAACCACCAGUCGUCUAUUGGCGGUGGGAGCGGAUCUGAGGUACGGGGCCCCGGACGUCGCAAUAUGUCUAUUGCCACCACCAUAACGCAGUUUUCCUCUAUUAGCAGCUCACAUUCUCAUGAUUCUCGAGCAGAUACUGCGACUGGUCGGACUCGAGUACACCCCCGUGUGGCACACUCCAUCAGCCAGAUUGACACAAGACGAAGUUCCGCGUCUUCAGCGUCGUCAGAUUGCGAGGGAUUCGAAUUGGAUAAUGAAAUCAGUGGUGGAGGGAGACGGAAAUCGUCUCUAGCAACCUUCGGAGGAGUGUCGUUACCAAGUGUGGACGAAGAAGACGUGUUCGAGGAGGCUCCUACUAGCCACACUUCACUAAAUAUUACUAAGUCUACUAGUGACGCAUAAAUCCUCAUCACUUUCCUCAUAAAACUUCACAUUCAGUCUCAUGCGUUGUGAGUAUGUAUUAUAUUGGACGAAGUGUAAAAUUUAAUAGAAGUGCUAGAAAGGUAAAUAUUUUUAUAUUAGCUCAUAUUAUUUACAAACGCCAUCUUGUAUUUCUAUUAUGUACAAGAUAGUGUUUAUUAUUUUUGUUUGUCAGCAGACAUAAUUUACACCUCAGUAUCACUGCUACAUCAUACAAAAUUGUCAAAGACUUUCCUUUCCUCGACCUCUCUAGUACUUUUUUAUUUUUGUGAAUUUGAAAUAUAGCAUUUCAGAAUGAAAGUCAUUCAGGUCAUUAAGUAUACUAAGUUAACGGAAAUUAAAGCCUAAUGACUAUAAUAAAGUCUUAAAUAAAGCUGCAUAUAACAUUAUCGUCACCAGGUAAGACUACUUCAACCCUAAAAUAUGGAAGUAAAAAAACUCUAAUAUAUAAUUAUACACAGAAAGAAAUACAUAUCUUAGUGUAUACAUCCUGUGCAUAUAUAAUAAUAAUAAUAAUAAUAAUAAUAAUCAUAUCUUUAUUUACUACAAGUACAUGUACAAGGUAUACAGGUCUAGUUGACAACAUUGACAUACCACUAUUUAGAAAGCCGCUUGUUAUGCAGAGCAUUUCGGGGAAAUUAGGUCAGUUUUGUCCCAGGAUGCGACCCACACCAGUACACUAACACCCAGGUACCCAUUUCACUGAUGAGUGAACAUAGACAACCGGUGUAAAGAAACACGCCCAAUGUUUCUACCCUGGCUGGAAAUCGAACCCAAACCCUCGCCGUAUGAAGCGAGAGCUUGAGCACCAGGGACUAAGUCAGUAUUGAGUUUAUGGUUAUAUUUUUAAGCUUAUUAAUAGGUUACUAUAUAGACUUUUGGAUACUAAGUGAGAUGUGCAAUUAACACGGUUAUAUUUUGGUCCUAUGUAAGAAUUUUUUUUUCUUUUGGGUAUCCAACAUUAAUAGAAAACAACCUAACCUAACCAAACCUAAAUUAGGAGUUAGAAUUUAGUUUGGGUUAGGUUAGGUAACAUUUUCUGGGUUACUAAAAAGUUACGUUGUUCCCAUACGCCAAAAGUAUAACAAUUUCCAUUAAAUAACUCUCGCAAUAUUAUUGAAUUUACAUAAUUAAAAAAAAGGCCAUUAGCUCAAUACUUUACCAGGAUGAAAUUGGUAGUAGCAGUUAAGAAAGAAAUCAAUUACAUGUAUAUUAAUAGUACGUAUAUCAUAUACUGUGUCAUCUGUAUAUAUACCUGGCAGGCUUGGCAGUGAGGUGGACCGUCAUACAUAUAUACCUGGCAGGCUUGGCAGUGAGGUGGACCAUCAUACACAUAUACCUGGCAGGCUUGGCAGUGAGGUGGACCAUCAUACACAUAUACCUGGCAGGCUUGGCAGUGAGGUGGACCAUCAUACACAUAUACCUGGCAGGCUUGGCAGUGAGGUGGACCGUCAUACACAUAUACCUGGCAGGCUUGGCAGUGAGGUGGACCGUCAUACACAUAUACCUGGCAGGCUUGGCAGUGAGGUGGACCGUCAUACACAUAUACCUGGCAGGCUUGGCAGUGAGGUGGACCAUCAUACACAUGUACCUGGCAGGCUUGGUAGUGUGGUGGACCAUCAUACACAUAUACCUGGCAGGCUUGGCAGUGAGGUGGACCAUCAUACACAUAUCAACUAUUUACUCAGGAGUCAACACAUUGUUAUAUUAAACAUGUGUGUCAGUGUAUACAUGUGUGUUCAAUGUUUAUAAAUGUUGACCGUCGCGCAAGUCAACGUUCAAUGUGAAGUAUAUAAUAAACUAUAUUUAUU
Cherax quadricarinatus is the source of this 3004-nucleotide non-coding RNA. The record is from RefSeq and is a predicted model, not a curated record. Lineage: Eukaryota; Metazoa; Arthropoda; Malacostraca; Decapoda; Parastacidae.